This 4286-nucleotide long non-coding RNA is filed under the name Podarcis lilfordi (Lilford's wall lizard). The record is from RNAcentral. Lineage: Eukaryota; Metazoa; Chordata; Lepidosauria; Squamata; Lacertidae.
AGAAAACGUAACUUUGGAUCCAGACACAGCACAUCCCCGCCUCAUCCUGUCUGAGGAUCGAAAGAGUGUGAGAGAUGGAGAAGUGCGUAGACGCCUGCCGAACAACCCUGAGAGAUUUGACACACAUGGCGAUGUGCUGGGAUGUGAGGGUUUCACAUCAGGCAGACAUUUCUGGGAGGUCAUUGUGGGAAGAGAGGAGAGGUGGGGGGUGGGGGUGGCCAGAAAGUCUGUGAAGAGGAAGGGUGAGUUCUGUUACAAUACUAGGGAAGGGAUCUGGGGUUUGGGGAAGUGGGACGGUGGGUACAAGUUAUGCUCCCCCCUUGAUGCCCCUGUUCCAAGUGAGGAGCCAAGAAGAUCCGAGUGACUCUGAACUGUGAAGGGGGACAGGUGUCCUUUUAUGAUGCUGAUACAGCAGCCCUUCUCCACGCAUAUCCGGCAGCCCCCUUCUCAGGAGAGACCCUCCAGCCCUUGUUUUACGUUGGCAAGAAGGAGAACCUGAUACUAUGUUGACCGAGAUGGAGACAGGCAAGCUUAUAUUCAUUGGCAUCAUGGCACAUUAAGGCUCCUCUUCAGGACUGAGCUGAAGGAGAAACCUUAUUUGCAGAACUGUGAUUGGCCAUCCCUUGUGUCAAUCAUGAUACAACUCUCCCUUCUUGGGCCAGUUUUGUAAAUGACACUGAUUGAUUGGGUCCCCUGUCAGUCCCCAAACUUGCCUGUUCUCUCUCCCUUGGGAAUCUGUUAUUCGUGUCUGUGCAGAAGGUGCAAAAGGAGGAAAGAAGCAAGAAAAUAAUUUAGUAAACAACAGCAACCCCACACACAUUCCAGUUUAGAUGUAGUUCUCUCUCUUGACAAGUUUUCUACAGACAAUACCAUCAUCUUUUCUGAAUAAAACCAGAAUUAUGCACGAACAUCACUUAAAACCUUCCUCAGCCUCAAUCCUGUUCUCAGAUUCCCUUUUCCUCCUCCAAGAUCUCCACUGGCCAGGGAGAUGGAAGUUCCAAAAUCCAUUUUUUUGCUACUCCUCAGGGAAGCUUAUGUGGCAAUUCAGCAAAAUCUCCAUAUCCAAAGAGACCUGUUUGCUAGUUUGAGUACAGGCGGUCCAAAACUCAUACACAACUUAACUUGCGUGAUCACGGCCUGAAGCCCUUCGUCAAAACGAAUUACUAAAUAGAAAGAGGGUGAGUCCGGGAAAAUCUCUUGCAAGGGACUGUAUGAGAUCUCACAAGGGGGGGGGGACUUUGGCAGUGGGGGGAAAGAGUUUCUAAGUCUACCUUGCUUUCUGGCCUCUAGAAAGGUUGCAUAAAGCUCUCAAAAUCUCUGGCUUCGAACAAGUAGGGAUGAUGAAGAAGAGGGGUUUGGACUUGAUAUCCCGCUUUAUCACUACCCGAAGGAGUCUCAAAGCGGCCAACAAUCUCCUUUCCCUUUCUCCCCCACAACAAACACCCUGUGAGGUGAGAGGCUGAGAGACUUCAGAGAAGUGUGACUAGCCCAAGGUCACCCAGCAGCUGCAUGUGGAGGAGCGGGGAAGAGAACGCGGUUCACCAGAUUAUGAGUCCACCGCUCUUAACCACUACACCAUGCUGGUUGUGUGGGGGGCAUUUUUGAGGGUCUUCCUGACUUGUGCAAUAUUGCCUUUGCAUGCUGACUCCAGGAAUGUAACCCUCACAUAGGUUUCAGGCCUCGAUGGAACAAAAUCCCCUCUGACAGUGAAGAGCCUCUGUCAGAAAUUCUCAGGAAAGAAGAAUGACAAUCUAGAGGAUUUCACAUGGGGAGGGGGAUUCCCAUGUACAGUGGUACCUCGGGUUAAGAACUUAAUUUGUUCUGGACUUCUGGGGUGGCGCCUCCGGCAAUGGCUGCCUCCCUUCUGAACUGGAGGGACCAGCUCCGCGUGAAACGGGUCGUAUCCGCUGCGGCGAAGAGGGGACCCUUUCAAAAAUCACAGGCGGAUGAAGCCUGUGACCAUGGGACUCGGCGGGCACCUUUAGCACCCCCCAACCCACUAAGGAACCCACCAACGGGCUCCAAAGUGAAGAGGGGGAAGCGGCGCGGUGCUGAGAGUCAUCAGCUAUUUCCGUGGAGCGAAGCCGCAUUGCUGUUGCCGGAGAGCGCUGCCUUUUCCUGGAACAAUUGGGACUUUAAAACAACAACCCGUGAGUAGUACGGAAAUUGGAUCCUUUAAAUAUUUUUAAAUUCGGCACUGAUCGGGGAAGGUACAACCAGGAAGUCUGCCUCCCGUUUCUGUAAAUAUUUUAAAGCAAAGAACCUCCAACUAAGGUCGUGGAGAACUCUACUUUUUAUAAAAGAUUUUAAUUCUACCGAUUGAAAUCACAAGGAAACUUACUUGGAAGCAGGGGAACCUGCGGGAGAAGAACUAAAUUUAAAAACCGACGUGCCACCCCCCGCUGGACCCAGGAGUGGUCCGUGAGAGCCAGUUGAGGAGUAAUUGAAUAAUUUGACAGCUGUCAAGUUAGCUGUCAAGAUACAAAAAGAGGAUUUUGUCUCUGCUGCUUAUAUUGGCUACAAUGUAAGUAUUGGUUACAUUUUUAUGUUUUAAAAGAAGGAAGGACUGCUACAAUUUAACGUAUGGAACUUUUGGUUUUGUGCUGAAAGGAGCAAAAAGAAGCUUAAAUCCCCCUAGAGGGAGUUUUGGGACAUUGCAUUAAGAACCAGCUGAGAAAUUGUUUUCUGGCCUUGAUAUGUUUAAGAAUGGCACUGGGUAAAGAAAUACAGUCUGAACUGAACAAGACUUUCUUUCUCUUGGGAAAGCUGCAAGAUCAAAUAGGUGUUUUGACUACAAAUCUUACAACCUUGGGCACAAGAGCCAGUUCUAGCAAUGAGCUUGAUAAGAACUUGGUACAGGAUUUCUACUUAGCUGAACAAACAGAGGAAAUCGAGAAGGAGAAUAAUGCUGCCAUUGAAGAGAAAAAAGGGGGGGACCCAACCCUGCAGAUGCAAAAGGUGAGCUGUAACCUGAGGCCUGACACGAUGGUAAUAAGAAGAAACAAACCUUUGAAGAUGGAAGCCUGGCCUGAAUUGGAAAAUGAAAAAUGGAGAGAUCUCCUUAUCUGGAGAUCAUAUGACACUUGGAUUAUAAAUUUGAUCCAGUUGGAAGUUAGAGCUAUAGGGACAUUUGGAAUCUUAAGGAGAAUGAAACAAGAUGUGGAAUACCCUAUAGGCCUUACUUUCAAGUAUGUAGGCCUGGCUGGAAGAAACUUGGGUGCUGCAGGGCGGGAGCCCCAUUGAGAUUUGGUCUUGAAUAUUAAAGACUAUCAAAGAGACUGGCAGAGAGGUCAGGAGAGAGACUUAAGAGCCUCGGACAUAAGGUCACCGGGUUGAUGGUUUUAUUUUGAGAUCUGUUGGGACUGAAACUGGGAAGGGGGGUGGGUGGAAUGAAAAAUGGAAAGGGUACAUGAUAUAAGUUGCUUUUUUGUUCAAUCUUUUUUUUGUCUUAUUUCUAGGAGAACUGGAAAUUUGUGGAAGGGAACCUUCUUUCGACCUUAGGGAAAUGUUUUAAGAAUAAGCACCGUUAUAUAGAUUUGGAUGAGAAUUAAGUUUGGAUAAAGUUAAAAAGCGGGUUAUAUAAAGAAAAAUAUGGUAAAACUAAGGUUUUGGUGAUAAGGGCUUGAUGAACUAACAAUUUGAACUGGAACAUAAGGAUUUGUUGAAUUAAAAAGAAGCAGGUUAAAAUUUAUUGACAGGGAUUUGCUGAAUUAACAAUUUGAAUUGGAAUACAAAAAAGGGAGGUAGGAGGAGGUCUGGGAAAUAAGUUAAUGGAAAAUAAGUUAUGGAAACUUUAUGUGUUUUUAAUUAUUUUUAUUUUUGUAUUUUUGUUAUUUUUUCUGUUUUUUAUUUUUGAUUUUUUCUUAUUGUAUUAAUAUUGAAAACUUUAAUGAAUAUCUUGUUAAAAAAAAAAGAACUUAAUUUGUUCUGGAGGUCCAUUCUUAACCUGAAACUGUUCUUAACCUGAGGUACCACUUUAGCUAAUGGGGCCUCCCACUGCUGCUUCACCACCGCCACACAAUUUCUGUUCUUAUCCUGAAGCAAAGUUCUUAACCCGAGGUACUAUUUCUGAUUUAGCGGAGUCUGUAACCCGAAGCAUCUGUAACUCGAGAUACCACUGUAUACAAUUAUUUUCUCCAAGGUGCUUUGUAGUGAACAGUCAGAUACUUGCCCGUAUUUUUAGAGAUCCCCUCUUCUUAUCCUUUUGUAUAAUGGUCUUGUAAGAAUUUGGGGAUAUGUUUCAUGCGCUAAUGUGUUUGAUUCUAUUAAAGAUUGUACUUCUUGUU